This 119-nucleotide ribosomal RNA is filed under the name Corchorus olitorius. The record is from RNAcentral. Lineage: Eukaryota; Viridiplantae; Streptophyta; Magnoliopsida; Malvales; Malvaceae.
GGGUGCGAUCAUACCAGCACUAAUGCACUGGAUCCCAUUAGAACUCCGUAGUUAAGCGUGCUUGGGCGAGAGUAGUACUUGGAUGGGUGACCUCUUAGGAAGUCCUCGUGUUGCACCCU